AUUAGCUAGUUGGCGGGAUAACAGCCCCCCAAGGCGACGAUGGGUAGCCGAGCUGAGAGGUUGGCCGGCCACACUGGGACUGAGACACGGCCCAGACACCUACGGGUGGCAGCAGUAGGGAAUCUUGGACAAUGGGCGCAAGCCUGAUCCAGCCAUGCCGCGUGAGUGAUGAAGGUCUUCGGAUUGUAAAACUCUUUUCUCGGGGGCGAACGGCUUCGGGAGGCAAUGCCCGGGGUAUGACGGUACCCGAGGAAUAAGCAACGGCUAACUCCGUGCCAGCAGCCGCGGUGAUACGGAGGUUGCAAGCGUUGUUCGGAAUGACUGGGCGUAAAGGGAGCGCAGGCGGCUUGUUAAGUCUGGAGUGAAAGCCCGGGGCUCAACCCCGGCGGGUCUUCGGAUACUGGCAAGCUCGAGUACGGAAGAGGAGAGUGGAAUUCCAGGUGUAGCGGUGAAAUGCGUAGAUAUCUGGAGGAACACCGGUGGCGAAAGCGGCUCUCUGGUCCGAUACUGACGCUCAGGCUCGAAAGCGUGGGGAGCAAACGGGAUUAGAUACCCCGGUAGUCCACGCCGU
Molecule: ribosomal RNA, 571 nt
Filed under: uncultured bacterium
Lineage: Bacteria
Description: bacterial SSU rRNA
Rfam family: Bacterial small subunit ribosomal RNA
Source: RNAcentral